Long non-coding RNA from Amblyraja radiata (thorny skate), 196 nucleotides. RefSeq lists it as uncharacterized. The transcript has 3 exons. The record is from RefSeq and is a predicted model, not a curated record. NCBI's taxonomy places the organism in Eukaryota, Metazoa, Chordata, Chondrichthyes, Rajiformes, Rajidae.
GUAAAAGACCUCCUACGACUAUAUUUAUGACCUCCUACGACCAUGUCUACGACCACGUCCACGGCCUCCUACGACCCACCUCGACCUCAGUGUUCCACACCUAAAAUCAACUACGACUAGCUACGAAUGGAAAAUGAUCACAUGAUAAAAUGAUGUCAUGUUUGCAUUUUUUUCUCGGGCCAGUUACCGACCUACG